Oryctolagus cuniculus (rabbit) is the source of this 645-nucleotide long non-coding RNA. RefSeq lists it as uncharacterized. Lineage: Eukaryota; Metazoa; Chordata; Mammalia; Lagomorpha; Leporidae. The record is from RefSeq and is a predicted model, not a curated record.
GUUUGUAGUCUCUCCCCCCUCCCCUUUUCUCCUCCUCCUGCUCUUCCCCCUCCCCAAACUCCCUCCCUCCGCCCAGCUCUGCGCGCAGCCGUGGGAUCUCGGAGGAGGGCGUCUAUUAGGCCGCGUGUGACCAUGUAAGAAUAUAGCACCUGCUGGGGUUGAGAGCACCACACUCCAAAGUUUGUCACCUCAGAUUGCUGAAUAUUUUGAGAUGUAGGAGACUGGGAGAACUACAGAAGCAAGAUGGUCUCUGAUCUUCCCCUGGUCAUUUAAGAGUUGUUUCUUCCAUGAAGCUGUUCAUGAAAACUAGAACCCUGUUUGGAAGCAAGUCAUACAACCUAGGAAGGUCACUCUUCAAUUUCCUUCCUUCUCCCUUGAAGAUCCACCCUCAUGUGACAGGUGUCCUGCUCGGCACCCACCCCCAGGCCAAGAAGAGUCUGAACAAAUAAGCCUUGCUAAGUUCUGCCACCACCCCAGGCUUAUUUCCCUUAGAUCAUGCCUCCUUUUGGCAAUCAUACUUCUACAUGACUUCCAUUCUUCAUCAAACCUAAGCAUAAAAAUAUACACUUUCCCCUGAGGGUUUGGGUCUUCAUAUCUGAAGUCUCUCAUGCCAAUGUAAAACUUUAAUUAAAUUUGUUAUGCUUU